UACGGGGGGGGCAAGCGUUGUUCGGAAUUACUGGGCGUAAAGCGCACGUAGGCGGCUUUCUAAGUCGGGGGUGAAAUCCUGGAGCUCAACUCCAGAACUGCCUUCGAUACUGGAGAGCUCGAGUCCGGGAGAGGUGAGUGGAACUGCGAGUGUAGAGGUGAAAUUCGUAGAUAUUCGCAAGAACACCAGUGGCGAAGGCGGCUCACUGGCCCGGUACUGACGCUGAGGUGCGAAAGCGUGGGGAGCAAACAGG
Molecule: ribosomal RNA, 253 nt
Filed under: uncultured bacterium
Lineage: Bacteria
Description: partial 16S ribosomal RNA
Rfam family: Bacterial small subunit ribosomal RNA
Source: RNAcentral